CGACGAGCUGCCUUCCAUACUUUGGACGUAUAGAACAACUCAUAGGACAACCACAGGAGAAACCCCUUUUAUGUUAGCCUAUGGCAUUGAAGCAAUGGUCCCAGUGGAAAUUAGACUGCCAAGCCAUAGGAGACUCGUGCCAGAAAUCUCGGAGCAUACAACUGAACAUCUUGAUCUCUUGGAAGAAGUACGGGAGCAAGCCGCUAUAAAAGUGGCCUCUUACCAA
This 226-nucleotide long non-coding RNA is filed under the name Olea europaea (common olive). RNAcentral describes it as "long non-coding RNA (OEUR_LNC013683)". Lineage: Eukaryota; Viridiplantae; Streptophyta; Magnoliopsida; Lamiales; Oleaceae. The record is from RNAcentral.